This 304-nucleotide unclassified non-coding RNA is filed under the name uncultured Glomus. Its description in RNAcentral is "SSU rRNA". It matches the Rfam family "Eukaryotic small subunit ribosomal RNA", at positions 569 to 890 of the family's 1831-position model. The record is from RNAcentral. Lineage: Eukaryota; Fungi; Glomeromycota; Glomeromycetes; Glomerales; Glomeraceae.
AGCAGCCGCGGUAAUUCCAGCUCCAAUAGCGUAUAUUAAAGUUGUUGCAGUUAAAAGCUUGUAGUUGAAUUUCGGGAUCAAUUAAUCGGUCGUACCUAUGGUACGUACUGAUUUUAUUGGUUUCUCCCUUCUGACGAACCAUGAUGUCAUUAAUUUGGUGUCGUGGAGAAUCAGGACUGUUACUUUGAAAAAUUGAGUGUUCAAAGCUGAAUACAUUAGCAUGGAAUAAUGAAAUAGGGCGUUUGAUCCUAUUUUGUUGGUUUCUAAGNUCGACGUAAUGAUUAAUAGGGAUAGGUUGGGGGCA